RNAcentral lists this ribosomal RNA (45 nucleotides) under Euphorbia stoddartii. Its description in RNAcentral is "partial large subunit ribosomal RNA". The record is from RNAcentral. Lineage: Eukaryota; Viridiplantae; Streptophyta; Magnoliopsida; Malpighiales; Euphorbiaceae.
GCGACCCCAGGUCANGCGGGAUUACCCGCUGANUUUAAGCAUAUC